AACAGGAUUAGAUACCCUGGUAGUCCACGCCCUAAACGAUGUCUACUAGUUGUUGGUGGAGUAAAAUCCAUGAGUAACGCAGCUAACGCGUGAAGUAGACCGCCUGGGGAGUACGAUCGCAAGAUUAAAACUCAAAUGAAUUGACGGGGGCCCGCACAAGCGGUGGAUUAUGUGGAUUAAUUCGAUGCAACGCGAAAAACCUUACCUGGCCUUGACAUGUACCGAAUUUACCAGAGAUGGUUUAGUGCUCGAAAGAGAACGGUAACACAGGUGCUGCAUGGCUGUCGUCAGCUCGUGUCGUGAGAUGUUGGGUUAAGUCCCGCAACGAGCGCAACCCUUGCCAAUAAUUGCCAUCAUUUAGUUGGGCACUUUAUUGGGACUGCCGGUGACAAACCGGAGGAAGGUGGGGAUGACGUCAAGUCCUCAUGGCCCUUAUGGCCAGGGCUUCACACGUAAUACAAUGGUCGGUACAGAGGGUCGCCAACCCGCGAGGGGGAGCUAAUCCCAGAAAGCCGAUCGUAGUCCGGAUUGCAGGCUGCAACUCGCCUGCAUGAAGUCGGAAUCGCUAGUAAUCGCGGAUCAGCAUGUCGCGGUGAAUACGUUCCCGGGCCUUGUACACACCGCCCGUCACACCAUGGGAGUGGGUUUUACCAGAAGUAGGUAGUCUAACCGCAAGGGGGGCGCUUACCACGGUAGUAUUCAUGACUGGGGUGAAGUCGUAACAAGGUAACC
Molecule: ribosomal RNA, 732 nt
Filed under: uncultured bacterium
Lineage: Bacteria
Description: bacterial SSU rRNA
Rfam family: Bacterial small subunit ribosomal RNA
Source: RNAcentral